GCCUAACACAUGCAAGUCGAACGAGGUCCAUGCAGUGGCAACACUGCGGAAGACCUAGUGGCGAACGGGUGAGUAACACGUGAGGAACUUGCCCCGGAGACCGGGAUAACCCUCCGAAAGGAGAGCUAAUACCGGAUGUCCUCACCGAGUCGCAUGGCUUGGUGAGGAAAUGGAUUCCGCUCCGGGAGAGCCUCGCGGCCUAUCAGCUAGUUGGUGGGGUAACGGCCCACCAAGGCGUCGACGGGUAGCUGGUCUGAGAGGACGAUCAGCCACACUGGGACUGAGACACGGCCCAGACUCCUACGGGAGGCAGCAGUGGGGAAUCUUGCGCAAUGGGCGAAAGCCUGACGCAGCAACGCCGCGUGCGGGAUGAAGGCCUUCGGGUUGUAAACCGCUUUCAGUGGGGACGAACCAAGACGGUACCCACAGAAGAAGCCCCGGCCAACUACGUGCCAGCAGCCGCGGUAAU
RNAcentral lists this ribosomal RNA (469 nucleotides) under uncultured bacterium. RNAcentral describes it as "bacterial SSU rRNA". It matches the Rfam family "Bacterial small subunit ribosomal RNA", at positions 46 to 524 of the family's 1533-position model. The record is from RNAcentral.